Molecule: ribosomal RNA, 471 nt
Filed under: uncultured organism
Description: partial 16S ribosomal RNA
Rfam family: Bacterial small subunit ribosomal RNA
Source: RNAcentral
ACACUCCUACGGGAGGCAGCAGUGGGGAAUUUUGGACAAUGGGCGAAAGCCUGAUCCAGCAAUGCCGCGUGUGUGAAGAAGGCCUUCGGGUUGUAAAGCACUUUUGUCCGGAAAGAAAUCCUUGGCUCUAAUACAGUCGAGGGAUGACGGUACCGGAAGAAUAAGCACCGGCUAACUACGUGCCAGCAGCCGCGGUAAUACGUAGGGUGCGAGCGUUAAUCGGAAUUACUGGGCGUAAAGCGUGCGCAGGCGGUUUGCUAAGACCGAUGUGAAAUCCCCGGGCUCAACCUGGGAACUGCAUUGGUGACUGGCAGGCUAGAUUAUGGCAGAGGGGGGUAGAAUUCCACGUGUAGCAGUGAAAUGCGUAGAGAUGUGGAGGAAUACCGAUGGCGAAGGCAGCCCCCUGGGCCAAUACUGACGCUCAUGCACGAAAGCGUGGGGAGCAAACAGGAUUAGAAACCCCAGUAGUCC